Long non-coding RNA from Canis lupus familiaris (dog), 2529 nucleotides. RefSeq lists it as uncharacterized. The record is from RefSeq and is a predicted model, not a curated record. The transcript has 2 exons. Lineage: Eukaryota; Metazoa; Chordata; Mammalia; Carnivora; Canidae.
UAUGCAAUUUUAAAGAGGUUGUAUAUUUUAUUGGAUGGAAUGUUCUAUAAAUAUCUAUUCAGUAUAGUGGUUUGUGAUGUUGUUCAAGUUCUAUUUUUCCUUGUGAAUCUUUUUUUGGUUAUUCUUUUCACUACAGAAAGUGGGAUAUUGAAAAUUCAAGUUAUUAUUUUUAAAUUUUCUAUAUAUCUUUUUAAUUCCAUAAAUUUUAGUUUCAUAUAUUUUGGGGAUCUUUGGUUAGCAAUUUUUAGUAAUAAUUUUUGUCUUAAAAUCUAGAUUCCCAGAAAUAUAUUUUGCACUUUUCAGAAUCUGUUACGGGUAUCUCAUCUAUCAGCUUUUCCUUUUAAGUUUGCUGGUCAACUUGAUUGCUCCAACUUUUAUUGCUGCCACAGGAAGCUACAGUGUUAAAGAAUUAUCACUAAUUGUUUUUUCUAAAUGCCCAAAGGAAAAGUUGUUCAUCCUGGGUGAGGCCUGAAUUAAGUCAAAUGGAGAUAUGGCCUAUGAAUGCAAUUUUCCAGGGAACUGCAAACAGGUCAAUAGUGACAAUUUUCUAGAACUGAAGCUUUGGAGGAACUCCAAUCCUAUUCUUUGCUCUAAAAUGGAUGAGAGGUUGCUUGUGUUCACCAUGAUUGUGCAGCUGUGGUUUCUAAGGCUACUAGAGAUCUAGGGAAAGGGGAAUGGAAAUAGGACAAGUUACAAACACCAAAUGAUUUGUUGUACUUACCUAGAUUUAGCUAUUUAUCUUGAAUAAAUGUCCUUAGAUUGCUGCAAGCUUUUGGUUAGCUUCCAGAGCUCUAAGACAGUUGACUUUGACAGCUUUUGCCAGUGCUUUCAUUAUAUGAAUAGACUAAUUGUCCCAUCUUAGCACAAAGAAAUUCCAGCAAGUUCAGUUUUUAUCUCCCUAAGGAACUGUAUAGUAAUCUGUAAAAAUUUUGAUAUAGCCCAUCUUAGAGACCUUAAGCCAUCAUCAUUAAUAUAUUUGCGAAACAUUAUCAGGCCUGUGGAAAAGUCUGAAAGAGAGGAAUAUAUCUUGAUAAUCAGAGGAAAUUGACCCCAGUGAAAGAGAGAACAUACAUUAAAGAAAUUUUUUAAAUGAAAAGUGUAAUAAAAAAAGAAGGCAACAUGCUCCAAGAAAGAGCAGAUGAUAAAUGACACCUGGAUGCUACUGAAAGGCUGGAGGCUACCCUAAUCUUCUUUCUUCUGCAGUAGUUGGCUUGCUGAGCAUCCUCUUGUUGUGAGAGGGACAUCAAUGAAACAAUUUUCAAAGCUUUGCUUGUAUCACUUCUGGUAAAAUUCUGUUGGAUAAAAUAAGUCACAUUGCUGAGUCCCUGAGAGUAGGAGUGAGGAGAGAGGAUAAUUUUGGAUAAGAUUUAAUAUACUGCCAGCCAGAAAUGAUUACAUAUCUUUAAAAGUUACCCUAAAUGGUCUAAGUCUUGGACAAACAUAUAGAUUGUCUAGCUGGCAUUCCAUUUCUCAUAUCUGAAAGACACCUGACAUACAAAUCUACCUGAGGCCAGUUCAUCCUUAUCAUGGUCCAGGUAGAGGCAUCCCCACACAACUUAUCAUCAGCCUCAUCUAACAAGGGAGAAAUAAUUUUCAGGUAAUUUAGUCUUCUUCCUUAUAAUUAAUGAUGAAAGAUGAUAGACAUAGCUCAUUAGAACCAUCAUCUUGUUUACCACACAAAUAAACAGACCAUUUUCCUCCAGGCCACACUUAUUCGAUGGGUCUGAUACAAAGAGUGCUUAGUUUAUUGGAAGUACAUGGAUGGGUUAAAGAUAAUUUAGAUUGUUAGUCAUCAAAUUUCUCAUGUUGUAAAGUGCUUUUUCAAUAGUGCAGAAGGUAUUUCCUAACUAUAUUACAUUUUCUGUCCUCAAACAAUUCUCAUCUCUGUAUGUCCUGCCUAUAAGGAACUACAAAAAAGCAGUAAAAUAAGGCAAGAUGAUAAAUUGUGAUUAUUGAAGGUUUGUGGUGACAAUUUGACUUAAGAUAAAGUUUAAAUUAAAAAAAGUUAAAGUUUAACUUAUGUUUAUAAAACAGAUAGGGCAGAAACUUUUUCUUUUGAGAUAUUUAUAUUAAUCUAUUUUUCAAAAUUAAUUUGGCCUAGAAUGAGAGAUUGUGUUUUUGCAAGAUCAACUGUACUGACAGUAUAGUUUAGGACUAUAUAACACUAAAAUCAUCCAAUUAUUUAUAUAUCCCUAGGUAUAUAUACAUACGUUUAUCUCAAGGCAUGUUAUAUAUAGAUUUUAUGACUCAUUUAAUAGCUUUACAUGUCUUUUAUAUGCUAAAUAUGACAAAAAAUAUAUAUCAAAAGCAUGGCUGCUAAUAACCUUAUAAAGGUAUAAUUUAAAUGACUUUAAAUAAUUAGUCACUCUUGCAUUUGCCAGUAUCUCUUAAAAAUACAUAAUUAUCAGGUUGAUGCUAUAAUAACUGUCACAGUUACUAAUGGCAACCAAGAAAAGCAAUCUUGCAGUUCAGCAAAAAAAAAAAAGCUGAUAAGAAAAAUUUGGAAAAAAUGUUUGUCAGAUUACAUUU